UACGAAGGGGCUAGCGUUGCUCGGAAUCACUGGGCGUAAAGCGCACGUAGGCGGCUUUCUAAGUCAGGGUGAAAUCCUGGAGCUCAACUCCAGAACUGCCUUUGAUACUGGAGAGCUAGAGUCCGGAAGAGGUGAGUGGAACUGCGAGUGUAGAGGUGAAAUUCGUAGAUAUUCGCAAGAACACCAGUGGCGAAGGCGGCUCACUGGUCCGGUACUGACGCUGAGGUGCGAAAGCGUGGGGAGCAACAGG
This 250-nucleotide ribosomal RNA is filed under the name uncultured bacterium. RNAcentral's name for it is "partial 16S ribosomal RNA". It matches the Rfam family "Bacterial small subunit ribosomal RNA", at positions 524 to 775 of the family's 1533-position model. The record is from RNAcentral.